GUGUCAGCCGCCGCGGUAAUACGUAGGGGGCGAGAGUUGUCCGGAUUUACUGGGUGUAAAGGGUGCUCAGGUGGAUUUGUAAGUCAGAGGUGAAAUCCCAAAGCUCAACUUUGGUGCUGCCUUUGAUACUGCAAGUCUUGAGUUUGGAAGAGGGUAAUGGAAUAUCUGGUGUAGCAGUGAAAUGCGUAGAUAUCAGAUAGAACACCAAUGGCGAAGGCAGUUACCUGGUCCAAAACUGACACUAAAGCACGAAAGUGUGGGGAGCAAACAGGAUUAGAAACCCCCGUAGUCC
RNAcentral lists this ribosomal RNA (292 nucleotides) under uncultured bacterium. RNAcentral's name for it is "partial 16S ribosomal RNA". It matches the Rfam family "Bacterial small subunit ribosomal RNA", at positions 505 to 796 of the family's 1533-position model. The record is from RNAcentral.